UGCUGAGAUAGCUCAGUGGGUAGAGCAUGAGACUCGUAAUCUCAGGGUCAUGGGUUUAAGCCCCACUCUGGGAA
This is a non-coding RNA of Zootoca vivipara (common lizard), 74 nucleotides long. The record is from the annotation of a RefSeq genome assembly. Lineage: Eukaryota; Metazoa; Chordata; Lepidosauria; Squamata; Lacertidae.